CGGUUGAUCCUGCCGACCCGAACUGCUAGAGGAUUGGGACUUAGGUAUCCAAGUGGUGCGUGACAGUUAAGUUACGCCGCAAAACGCUCCGUAACACGCCGUUAACUUACCCUCAAGUGGGAGGCAAUCUCGGAAAACUGAGGCUAAUUCUCCCAUGAGAUAAAAUUGCCUGGAAUGGUAUGUUAUCAGAAGGUUCUACCUGUAUCUGGUAGUGUCCGCUUGAGGAUAGGGCUGCGGGCGAUUAGCCUGUAGGUGGGGUAACGGCCCACCUAAGCGACGAUCGCUGGGGGCAAUGUGAGUUGGCGCCCCGAGACUAUCACUGAGACAGUGGAUAGGGGGAUACGUCUUGCAGGAACCGCGAAAACGCCUCUAUGUACGAAAGUACGAGGGGGCCAGUCCUCGUGCUCAGUUACCGCUGAGCUGUUGCCCAAGAUAAUAUCAUUGGGUUAGAAAGUGGAGCGUAAGGCUGGUGCCAGCAGGCGCGGUAAAACCAGCUCCGCGAGUGGUUUGGAUUAUUAUUGAGCCUAAAACGUCUGUAGCUGGACUAGUAAGUUCGUGAUUAAAUACUCUCGCUCAACGAGAGUGCUGUUGCGAAUACUGCUAGUCUUGGGAAUGGAAGAGGUAAGCCGUACUUUGGGGUUAGGGGUGAAAUCCGUUGACCCCCAGGGGACGACCUAUGGCGAAGGCAGCUUACUGGGACAUCUCCGACAGUCAGUAGACGAAAGCUGGGGUAUCGACGCGGAUUAGAGACCCGUUUAGUCCUAGCCGUAAACGAUGAUUGCUUUGUGUUGCGGGCGAUUCGAUCGUCUGCAGUGCUGUAGGGAAGCCGUUAAGCGAUCUGCUUGGGAAGUACAGUCGCAAGGCUGAAACUUAAAGGAAUUGGCGGGGGUUCACCACCAGGCGAGGGGUGUGCGGUUUAAUUGAAUCAACGCCAGGAAACUCACCUGGGAGUAGGACUCUAUGAUUGCCAGAUUGAUGAUCUUGCAUGAGAUGUCGGAGGCUUGUGCAUGGCCGUCUGAAAUUCGUAUCGUGAGACGUGCAGUUAAGUCUGCUAACGAAUGAGAUGCCCGCCUCUAAUUGCCAUUGUCCCAGCUUUUGCUGGGCAGGAACCUUAGAGGGAUCGCUGAGCGCUAAGCCAGAUGAAAGGGGGCGCUACGACAGGUCAGUAUGCAGCAUGUUCCCAGGGCUACACGCGCACCACAAUGGACAGGACAAUGGGCUCCCGAUCUCGAAAGAGUGGGGCAAUCCGAUAAACCUGUUCUCAGUUGGGAUUGGGGGCUGCAACCCGCCCCCAUGAACGUGGAUUGCCUAGUAAGCGGGUGUCAACAUCGCCCGCUGAAUACGCCUCUGGAUCUUGCGCACACCGCCCGUCGCUGGAACUGAAUGAGUGGGAGUUGAGGUAAACGAUAUCGUAUGCGGGUAUCAAAACUUUUACUCGUGAAGAGCCAGAAGUCGUAACAAGGUA
Molecule: ribosomal RNA, 1465 nt
Filed under: metagenome
Description: bacterial SSU rRNA
Rfam family: Archaeal small subunit ribosomal RNA
Source: RNAcentral